UACGAAGGGGGCUAGCGUUGCUCGGAAUCACUGGGCGUAAAGCGCACGUAGGCGGAUCCUUAAGUCGGGGGUGAAAGCCUGUGGCUCAACCACAGAAUUGCCUUCGAUACUGAUUGGCUUGAGACCGGAAGAGGUCAGUGGAACUGCGAGUGAGAGGUGAAAUUCGUAGAUAUUCGCAAGAACACCAGUGGCGAAGGCGGCUGACUGGUCCGGUUCUGACGCUGAGGCGCGAAAGCGUGGGGAGCAAACAGG
Molecule: ribosomal RNA, 252 nt
Filed under: uncultured bacterium
Lineage: Bacteria
Description: partial 16S ribosomal RNA
Rfam family: Bacterial small subunit ribosomal RNA
Source: RNAcentral